Molecule: long non-coding RNA, 469 nt
Filed under: Carassius auratus (goldfish)
Lineage: Eukaryota; Metazoa; Chordata; Actinopteri; Cypriniformes; Cyprinidae
Description: lncRNA (ENSCARG00000027934.1)
Source: RNAcentral
GACAAAUCUAAAGAUGCAGAGAGCCGUCACAGCAGCCGUGACCCAGUCCACAACCACACAGAGCACCACAGUCAUCACCAAGUCUAGAGAACAAAUCCUCACGCAGAGCUCAGGAGCCAUGAUAGCUGUAAUCGUCAUUGGUAUAAUCAUCAUUCUCACAUUUUUGCUGAUUAUCCUCAAGACAUACAACAGGAGGACCCAUGCGAACAGGAUGCUGAAUGGAGGCUCCAACAAACCACGAAAGAAGGUGUCCUCAACUACCACCAACACAAACCUGGCCAUGAGCAACGUGGUUGCAAACUCAGUCUCUGGAAGCUUUGCGCAGUCUAAUGCGUCCUCAGAGAACGGGUACCGCAUUCCUCGCGUCGACCUGGGAAACGUGGAUCUGAGUAAUGGGGAGCAUUUCAGCACCAACAGCGGCUCAACUAUUGUGACGAUACAUGACAUGCCAUCAGUAGAUAACACAUAG